Pezoporus occidentalis (night parrot) is the source of this 3885-nucleotide long non-coding RNA. RefSeq lists it as uncharacterized. The transcript is spliced from 2 exons. The record is from RefSeq and is a predicted model, not a curated record. Lineage: Eukaryota; Metazoa; Chordata; Aves; Psittaciformes; Psittacidae.
CUGACCUGAUGUCCUUCUACCAUGAGAUGACUGGACAUACAAGGGGAGAGCAGUGGUUAUUGUUUGCUUGAACUUUAGGAAGGGUCUAGUUGUCCCUGCUUUGAGCAGGGGAGGUGGAUUAGUUGUAAAUGUCCCUUACAACUUCAAUUACUCCGUGAUUCAAUCCUUCUUAUGACCAUAUAUAUUCUGGUUUGGAGGUACCCAAUCCCUGAUUGUGAAAUAAAUCUGAGCAAAACCAAGGACUGUAAUGAACUUCCUCAGUUUUCAGCAUUAUUUCCUUUACUUUUCUAUGUCCUGUUUUUCCUUCAUUUAUUGUGGAGAACAGUUAUAUGGACAUAAACCACUUUUCCCACUGUUCCUUAAGGUAUCCCACCUCAUUGACACCAUCAAAUUGAAACACAAGAUUCCAUUUAAACAUACAAAAAGAUUUUCUCCUGUGAGGGAGGUAAAACACUGGAUCAGGUUGUGCAGGAAUAUUGUGUAGUCUCCUGCCUUAUUGAUAUUCUGAACGAAAAUGGACACAGUCCUAAGCAACCUGCUGUAGUUGACAUUGCCUUGAACAAAGGAACUGGACUAGAAGUCCUUCAGGUAUUCCUUUCAUCUUCAUCUAUUCUAGGAUUCUAGGAUUCUGCUGGCUUUCCAACAGCACAAAACACUGUCAUUCCCACUCAACAGUAAGAGGACAGUCAUCUAGUACACUGGCAUCAGGAAGAAUAAUCAGAGUCAUAAAAUCAUAGAAUCAUAGAAUGGUUUGGCUUAGAAAGGACCUUUAAAAAUCAUCUAGUCCAACCUUCCUUGCCAUGGGCAGGGACAUCUUUCACUAGAUCAGAUUGCUCAAAACCCCAUCUGACCUGACCUCGAACACCUCCAGUAACCAGCUGGGUUAAGCACUUCUUAGGACACCUUUAGUAGCACCUACAUGGUAUGUUUUUUUCUCUUUCUGUUUAAAUUGCAUGAUACUUUCUGUAACUGCAGACUGUACAAGUCACAGCUAUUGCAUGGAGGCACAGAUGUUAAAGGCAGAGUAUCAGCUUCUCCUUCUGUUUUAUUUUUUCCACAAGCCCUAGUGUGAUUUUAAAUUUAAAUUUUCAAAGUUUAUAAUCCUCAUCUCCUCUAAGAUAUUCUCUUGAUGAACAUGAACAGGGAAGGAUCCUAUCUAUGACUGAUGACAAAAGUCUUUGGUAGCCACUAAAUUGCCUUUGGGCAGACAAGGUGCAAUUUCCAGUUUACAAAACUGGAAAUUAACAGUUAUAUGUGUGUAUAUACAUACAUAUACAGUUAUAUAUAUAUACAUAACUGCCUUCCUUACAAAUCUAAGCACCUUUCAGAAAUUCAUUAGGCAGCAUUGUAAAACCUCUCUGAUGUGCCUUAGGUGAGGAAUGCAGUAAAGAAACAUGGAAAAAAGAGGCAUGUCUGUUAUGACCAAUAAUAUAUAAUAGUAGCAGAGAGCAAAGGCAAGGACUGGGAGAAUGAAGAACUGCCACUUUAGGAGAAAAUCAGGUUUGAGGUCAUCUAAGAAACUUGAAAGUGCACAAAUCUAUGGGACCUGGUGAGAUGCAUCCGUGGGUCCUGAGGGAACUGGUGGGUGAAGUUCCUAAGGCACUGGCCAUCAUAUUUGAAGUUCCCACUGACUGGAAAAGGGGAAACCUAACCCCCAUUUUUAAAAAGGGAAAAAGGAAGAUCUGGGUAACUGCAAGCUGGUCAGACACACCUCAGUGUCCAGCAAGGUCAUGGAGCAGAUCCUCCUGGAGACUAUGCUAAGGCACAUGGACAAUACGGAGGGGAUGAGUGACAGCCAACACAGUGUCACUAAGUGCAAAUUGUGCCUGACAAAUGUGGUGAUCUUACACGACAGGGACUCCUGAAGGCUGCUUCUCUGUGUUCUUUGUCACCAGGGUGCUGGUAGCAGUGGACCCGUGUUUUCCUUAGUCAGUCUCCUGUUGCUGCUGAUGCCACUGCAGAAGGCUCUCUUGUUGCACUUCACAGUUCUUGCCAGAUUUGACUCCAGAUGGAGAUGUAUCACACCAGUUCCUAUCCCUCCUGUCGGUGGGGUAGCAGGGUGCCUUGGUGUGUCACCCUUUCUACUUUAAGAACCGCAGCUUCCCGUGCCUAUUUGUGGCAGGUAUAUUUAGUGCAGUUCAGACCCUAUAUAUGCCUGCAGCAUAUUUAGAACGGGCUGUUUGGUCAGUGUGCGCUGUUGCCAGUUUGCUUGCUGGCGUGCAGGAGCAGAGUGUAUUGGUAGGAUAUCUUGUUGCCUCCCAGCGUGCAUUGGCUGUGGAUGAUAAACUUCAUUUGUCUAAGGCAAAAAGAAGGUCAGACCUUCUGCAUUUGUGUUUUUCUUGUUGGAAUCAUCAGAUCUUACUCCACAUCCUGCCCCUCUGUGACAGCCCAGAGCCUGACCCCAUGCUCCCGAGGCAAGCACUCAGGUACAGGUGGGGGAUUGCUGGACAGUCCCAUUCCCCUGCAGACUCCUCCCAGCUCCCUGCUGCUGGGCAGAAGAGUCCAGUGGAGUCGAUAGCUUGUGGGUGAGACUCGACUCUGCUGAUCUCAGAGCCUUUCCUUCCUGAACAAACAUUUUCCAUUCUGAAAUAAUCACCUCACUAUAUAUAGAAAGCUCCUCCAAAGCGAAACCCAUGUUCUUUGGGAAGGGAUAUUCCUCAAAUUGUUUUCUUCCUUUUAAAAGCUCCAACAGGCCCUUUGCCAUCAAGCUUGUACAUGUUUGUGAAUUCUGCUGAUCAGAAGCAUGUGUUCACCUCACAUGAAAAUAAUCUGGAUUCCCGAUGCAGCUUCUGUGCUCCCCACCCCCACUGCACGGGUCCUGAGGCUGUCUGCAAUCACAAUCCACAGGAUUUCGGAAACCACCUCCCCAUCUCACUUCCUCCCAGCUGAUUUUCAGGGGAAUAGAAGGAGACUUGUUUGCUAGCAGGGGGGAAGUCCAGGCCUUGGUGAGCAGCUUUCUAAGAGGCACCUAUGAGAAUGGUGCGCUUCAGUCAGCGUUAAGUUUGCAGAGGCUGCUGCCAAAUGAGGUCACCCUGGUGCAGAAACGUGGACGAAGAGCUUCCAGAAGAGGAGGAUGGAAGAAGCCAGGACAGGAAGUAGAGCCGUCAGUAGCACAGGGCUCAGCUCAGUCAACUCCCUGCUCUGGAAAUGCUGAUUUCAGUUUUGUCUUGGCUCACAAACUAAAAUGGAUUAAAUGGUUUCAUUGUCAUCUUCCUAUUUCUCGUCAUAAAAAUCAUUCUUUGGUUUGACACAGUUUAGUUGUCUCUCUGGAAGGUGUCUGCUGGGGCAAGCAGCAUACACAGGGCAGUUCAGCCACGAGGUCUGGGUGCCUUUUGGGAAUCACAAAGCUCAAAGAACCUCAAGGAGAGACUCCUUUUCAAACCAUGUAACAUCUGCUGAGCUAGCACAUCUCUUGAGAAAGGCAGAACACCACAAUACCAGCUUGGAGUGGGUCUUGCCAGGGACAGCAAGGAUCAUCUGGUCCAAUCUCUCUUGGGAAAGAGACAAGACGGCCCAGCACCCUGUUCAGCCAAAGAUGGACAACCUGGACUGCUAGGGACCUCUUAUGCCUUUUUCUUAGUUAUUCUAGUGAUUAAUUCCUCCUUCAGUUGAACUGUUGCUCUUUACUUUAGUUUGUAUAAUGGCCAUUCCACCCCAGUGCUCCUGUUUGUUUGCUAGAUUGAAACAUUACACACAGUGGAAAAAAAAUUCUUUCUUACAGACCCUUAGAAAUCACUUGUAUUUUUAAUUUUUCUGAAGUUCUCCAUGUGGAAACUUGUUCUGCUGAUGUUGACUCCUUCUUAUGACUCUGACUGCUUCGAGUUUUCUGCAGUCUUUAUAAAUAUUGAACAUCAAAUUAGCAUCACUAAAGCUGCAGUAAUAUAA